Molecule: non-coding RNA, 46 nt
Organism: Schistosoma curassoni
Lineage: Eukaryota; Metazoa; Platyhelminthes; Trematoda; Strigeidida; Schistosomatidae
Source: Rfam
CCACUGCUGACGAGUGCCGUAUUAGGACGAAACGACCGUCCAGUGC